GCUCAGACCUGCAGGAGCUGGUGUCUUCCUGUCUCUCUGGUCCCUUUUAUGUGCAGGCUUCAAACCUUCCCAGGGCAAAGAUGAAACACCGUUUCAUUUCCUCCUGCGUGUGAAGAAGAACAAAAGACAGAUCUUCUUGGCUCACUCGUAUCAUAGACCCACUGAAACCCUGCAGGAGAACAGAGCAUGGAUUAUAGAUAAAGCUUAAAUCCACUUUCGCAGGAAUUAGGCGGCUUACAAAUGAAGCGGUGUUUGCUGGAGGUGACAUGACCUGUGACGUCACAACAGGUUGACGGCAGAAGCAGAAAUACUGGAUUUCUGAAUCCAGGAUUUACUGCAAGUGUUCUCAGAGCCUUCAAUAUGAACAUUAAAG
This is a long non-coding RNA of Lemur catta (Ring-tailed lemur), 373 nucleotides long. RefSeq lists it as uncharacterized. NCBI's taxonomy places the organism in Eukaryota, Metazoa, Chordata, Mammalia, Primates, Lemuridae. The record is from RefSeq and is a predicted model, not a curated record. The transcript is spliced from 3 exons.